UACCAGCUCUCCGAGUGGUAGGGAUGAUUAUUGGGCUUAAAGCGUCCGUAGCCGGCUUAGCAAGUCUCCUGUUAAAUUCAGCGACCUAAUCGUUGACCCGCGGGAGAUACUACUAGGCUAGGAGGCGGGAGAGGUCGACGGUACUUCUGGGGUAGGAGUGAAAUCCUAUAAUCUCGGGAGGACCACCAGUGGCGAAGGCUGUCGACUAGAACGCGCUCGACGGUGAGGGACGAAAGCUGGGGGAGCGAACCGGAUUAGAUACUCGGGUAGUCCCAGCUGUAAACGAUGCGGGCUAGGUGUUGGGGUGGCUACGGGCCACUUCAGUGCCGCAGGGAAGCCAUUAAGCCCGCCGCCUGGGGAGUACGGCCGCAAGGCUGAAACUUAAAGGAAUUGGCGGGGAGCACCACAAGGCGUGAAGCUUGCGGUUC
Molecule: ribosomal RNA, 428 nt
Filed under: uncultured archaeon
Lineage: Archaea
Description: bacterial SSU rRNA
Rfam family: Archaeal small subunit ribosomal RNA
Source: RNAcentral